Molecule: long non-coding RNA, 1269 nt
Organism: Pipra filicauda (Wire-tailed manakin)
Lineage: Eukaryota; Metazoa; Chordata; Aves; Passeriformes; Pipridae
Exons: 2
Source: RefSeq, a predicted model, not a curated record
UUGCAUACUGGAGAACUUCAUUACCAUAAUAAAAUGUGAUGUUCUUGGCUGUGAAUUCCUGCUACAAUGUGAACUAGGAUCCCAAGGAAAGAAAAAAGACUUAAUUCAGUAAGACUGUUCUGCGUGGCUGGGGCUCUGCGUGGAUGCCUGCACCGCUGCCCUUUCUGUAAAGGACCAGAAACACGGCAGGGCUGGCUGUGCAGUAGCUGGAGAGACCAGAGAAGGGAGUAGUCAGGAAGCUGGCUGCCAGCACAGCAGGCAAAGCUCACAGCGGCAGCAGUAGCAGCGACUAACGGCAAAACCAGUGGCUGAGCUCAGGGCGGCAGAACACAUGCGGGGAUUAGGACUAGAGCAGGUGACCUGAGCGACCUGGGCACCCUGCUCCUGUGGAGUGUGGGGGCACGGUGGAAACAGGAAGCCACCACAGCCGUCACCCCCAGUUCCUGGAGGACAGCGUGAUGCUGCAAACAUAGUCUGUGAUAGCAGUGGAUUACUUAGGUUUUCCAAAAUGACGUACGAUUAAUUGGGAGGUAGAAAGAACAGGGAAGUGUAAAGAUUUAUUUAUUUAUGCCCUUCAGUUUGAUUCAUUGUUCCUGUGGAGGGAAGUACUGCUCAAUAAGAGAGCAUAAUUUAGAUUGCCAGAUUUCUGGGUGGAGGCUCAGACUGGUGCAGUAUGUUUGACUCUGCAGGAUGGGUUGUUUUUCUUUGGUAAGGAGAGCUAAAAUUGAUUCUGACCUAUACUGCUUCGUGCCAGAGAGGUUUCUCUUACACUGAAUUUCCUGCUGGGGUAGACGUCAGUCUACCUGAAUGAUCUCAGCAGAUACAGACCUCUAAAGAACCAAUGCAUACAAGCAGGUAUCAAAUCAACAAGCAUAGCUAUCAUCUCGUACAUAGAUGGAUGUGAUGAAGUGUAAUUUAUCACCUGGAUAGCUCAGCCAGGAAAGGAUGCUAUUGCAAUUACACUGUCAAAUCACACUGCUGCCAGCAGAGUGCCUAUAUGAAUAAAAAAUACAAAGUGGGAACAGCACAGGUUUUGACUUUCUAGCUUUAUGCAUAAUGGAGGCUUUUGUCAGCAAAAUGUAUAUAUGUAAUCCACUGAUGGUAGGAUUGCAGAUCUGGCUAAAGAUUGCUUAAAUAGACUCUUAAGUUAGCUAGGUGACUAAAAGGAUGCAACUGAGUUGGCACAAUGCAACAUUGUCGACUACUUCAUAAUAACAAGCUUACUUGUAAAUAUUAUAUACCAUAAAAUUAUUCAAGUAUAUGCUUAGA